AGGGGCCACGCCCACCUGCACGAGCGCUGGACGCAUCAUGUGGGGAUGCGAGAUACACGCGCGGACAGUUCCCCACGAAAUCAGGAUUAGUUUCGGGCGAAUGCAUUUCUCAACAAAAACGAGAGAGAGACGUUGACCACCAGUACAUCUGAAUAUUUGGGACCUGUACUAAAGGCAAGAAGAAAUUAAAAUAGAGCCACAGAUUCCUUUUUUCUCCAUUUUUCCCCGCUAUGAAUGAAGACACACUCACCUCCGGCUCCUGUGCAGACCGUCCACAGGGACGAUGCCAGCAGGACGGGCGCGAUCAGCUGCUGCAUUCUGGAGCGUCUCUGCCUCGACGGAGUGGAGGGGACACAAGGACUGGGUUUGUUCCAAUGUGAUCGCAUUCUUGCAGGGGGGUCCCUUAUACCUUAUCUAUCAGAAUACCCCGACAGAGUGGCCCCUCCCCCUUCGGGCAUCGCCUCCAAUGAAGCUCCAAUCAUGGGGGGGAUGAGGGAUGGGGGGGGGGGGGGGGUCCAUCACGACCCGACAGGCUGCUGAUGGAGGAAACGCUCCCUGGUGACGUGAGAAGUGAAGACGUGAUUGUGGCAGUGGAGGGAAAUCAGACGGAGACCUUCAUCAUGCUCCACAGGUCAUAUGAUAAUAAUGUGACAUUAAUGUGCCUAACAUGAACCUCAGUCGGUGUAACACCGGAUAGUUGCAGAUUUAAGUUUGAAAAAACAAUAAGUGAAUUUCACAGGGCCAUAUGAGCCUGUCCUGGCUGUUCAGUGAAGUUAUCUGACGUUUACACUAAGGGAAAGAUUCAAACCCAUGGUUCCAUGUUUAAAAUGAAACUAUUCUUCAUGUCUUGUGUAACAGUUUUAUCAGUGGUUGGAAAUGUAUUCAAAUCAUUUACUUCAGUAAAAGUAGCUUAGUAUUGAAAAAAUUGUCCGGCUUUCGAAAUUUCACACAUCACAUCUACUGUAAAACAGAUUGAAACAGCAUGAUGCUUGAAACAUCAAAAAGACAGUUUUUCCACUCUGGUGGACAAUAAAGUUCUAUUCAAUUCUAUUCUA
Scophthalmus maximus (turbot) is the source of this 1055-nucleotide long non-coding RNA. RefSeq lists it as uncharacterized. NCBI's taxonomy places the organism in Eukaryota, Metazoa, Chordata, Actinopteri, Pleuronectiformes, Scophthalmidae. The transcript has 2 exons. The record is from RefSeq and is a predicted model, not a curated record.